AAAUACACAAAUAAACCGAUCAGGUCGUUAAAUAAAGAUUUUCACGUUUUAGGCAAUAGUGCCUCCCAGUAGAACAAACAACACAGUGGUUUUUUUGGUUUUACCCAUUUUUCGCUCAAUUUGUCUUCUAAUUCAUGAAAAAACCUUCGGCCAUCAGAAUUUUACUUCGAUCGCGGGUGUAAAUACAUUCCAUCAAGUGAUUGUUUUAUCGAAUUAAACACUUUUGUAUGUUCUGCAUGAUUUCUAUCCAUAUCCUUGUGUAAUUUCUAUUGUGAUGCUCCAUUACAGCUCGCAGAUCUAAUUCUCAAGCUCUCAGAUUCUUGUACUACGUACUUUUGUAAACCAAUUGUUGGAUUGACCGACUGAACAUCAUUAACUUUUCUCUAACCCAUCGUAACCUCUCUCUUAAACCAAAUUAUUAGAAUUGAGGAACAGAGAAUAAACAGAGACAAAGUAGAGGAAAACAAAGAGAGAAAAGACUAUAGAUUAGAAGAGAAGUCUAGGAAGAAAACUAGCAGAUUCCAUUUAUCACUCAACAAGGGUUUACAAAGAAAGGCCUCACGCUUAUAUAUUGUCAGCUGAGUCUUGAAGUCACACAAAUAAUGCUGGUACAAAAAUGCAGCUGGAAAAUAAAAAUGCAAUCAACAUAGAAAAGGAAUAAAAUUGUACCUAGUUUCUCUAUCUGCUCUUCCCGCCAAAACCCUUCAAAACUUUUUCAAAAUAAUUCCUUCUUUGUUUCAAACUCAUGUAUCACCCCAUUAAAACUAAUUAUGUUAGAAUUCCUCUUACCCAAUUAUUAGUGUUUAGAGUCCAAAAUUCUUAAAUAAAAGUUUCCAAUGGCCUCUCUAAUAUUUUCUCCCUUAUAUAUUGUAUAUAUGUUACUCAACUGCAGGAAUUCAAUAAGGAAUUAGAGGAUCGAGGGGCUGUUUAAGAGUUCGAGGACUCGAGAAUUCAGCUAUGGAGUUGCGAAGAAGAAAAUGUAAAAAGAGGAAAAGAGAGAGAGAGAGAGAGAGAGGAAGAGAUUUUAGAGGAAAUUGUAAUAGUUUUAUAUAUGGUUUGUAUCUAUGAAUUAUAAUGCUAUAUUAGAAUUGAA
Molecule: long non-coding RNA, 1093 nt
Filed under: Nicotiana benthamiana
Lineage: Eukaryota; Viridiplantae; Streptophyta; Magnoliopsida; Solanales; Solanaceae
Description: long non-coding RNA (NBEN_LNC012422)
Source: RNAcentral